AAAAACAUCGCUCCUUGUAUAUAAUACAUAAGGAGUCGGACCUGCCCAGUGAAUAUUUUUAACGGCCGCGGUACUCUGACCGUGCAAAGGUAGCAUAAUAAUUUGCCUUAUAAUUGAAGGCUAGUAUGAAUGGUUUGACAAGAGUGUAGCUGUCUCUUUAUGAUUGAAUAGAAUUUUAUUUGUAGGUGAAGAAGCCUACAUUAAAUUAAAAGACAAGAAGACCCUAUCGAGCUUUAAAGAAAUUAAUAGAUUAAAACAUUAAUAAUUCUAAAAAAUUAACUAUUAGAAAUUUUAGUUGGGGCGCCUGAGGAACAAAAAAGCUUCCUUUAAACUUAAAGACUAAACGAGUAUUGAUCCAAAACAUUUUGAUUAAAGGAAUUAGUUACCGUAGGGAUAACAGCAUUAUCUUUUUUGAGAGCUCCUAUCGAAAAAAAGGUUUGUGACCUCGAUGUUGGACUAGAAUAUCCUAAAGAUGCAGCAGUCUUUAAGGGUUGGUCUGUUCGCCCAUUAAAAUUCUACAUGAUCUGAGUUC
Molecule: ribosomal RNA, 532 nt
Filed under: Neptunea intersculpta
Lineage: Eukaryota; Metazoa; Mollusca; Gastropoda; Neogastropoda; Buccinidae
Description: partial 16S rRNA
Rfam family: Bacterial large subunit ribosomal RNA
Source: RNAcentral